GAACGCACAUUGCGCCCCUUGGUAUUCCGAGGGGCAUGCCCGUUCGAGCGUCAUUAUAACCCCUCAAGCCCAGCUUGGUGUUGGGGCCUGCUGCUGCCGGCAGCCCUUAAAAUCAGUGGCGGUGCCAUCUGGCUCUAAGCGUAGUAAUACUUCUCGCUACAGGGUCCCGGUGGAUGCCUGCCAUCAACCCCUAAAUUUCUAUGGUUGACCUCGGAUCGGGUAGGGAUACCCGCUGAACUUAAG
RNAcentral lists this unclassified non-coding RNA (243 nucleotides) under Leohumicola minima. Its description in RNAcentral is "sequence contains 5.8S rRNA gene". Lineage: Eukaryota; Fungi; Ascomycota; Leotiomycetes. The record is from RNAcentral.